Molecule: small nucleolar RNA, 132 nt
Organism: Cyclopterus lumpus (lumpfish)
Lineage: Eukaryota; Metazoa; Chordata; Actinopteri; Perciformes; Cyclopteridae
Source: Ensembl
GUAGAGACUAGAGUCUCGCCUCGACAUCACUCAUUGUCUUGGCGUGCUAGAGUCCUCUUAGAGUGAAGACUGCUCCUAUUCACUGACUGGACCUUUUUGGUAGACCAGUCGGCCACAUGGUCAGUUACAAAC